RNAcentral lists this non-coding RNA (104 nucleotides) under Pseudomonas sp. JV241A. RNAcentral's name for it is "SAH_riboswitch". It matches the Rfam family "SAH (S-adenosyl-L-homocysteine) riboswitch aptamer". Lineage: Bacteria; Pseudomonadati; Pseudomonadota; Gammaproteobacteria; Pseudomonadales; Pseudomonadaceae. The record is from RNAcentral.
CUGUCCGAGGGGCGCUGCAGCAGGUUAAACCUGUCAGGCUCGGAUGGGGCGUUGUCCGCAAGGCCUGCCUGCGGACACUAAACGCACAACGGCGCCCAUUCGCA